GCAGUAGCGCGGGAAUACGGAGGGUGCAAGCGUUAAUCGGAAUUACUGGGCGUAAAGCGCACGCAGGCGGUUUGUUAAGUCAGAUGUGAAAUCCCCGAGCUUGACUUGGGAACUGCAUUUGAAACUGGCAAGCUAGAGUCUUGUAGAGGGGGGUAGAAUUCCAGGUGUAGCGGUGAAAUGCGUAGAGAUCUGGAGGAAUACCGGUGGCGAAGGCGGCCCCCUGGACAAAGACUGACGCUCAGGUGCGAAAGCGUGGGGAGCAAACAGGAUUAGAUACCCCGGUGUCCCUGUCUCUUAUACAC
RNAcentral lists this ribosomal RNA (302 nucleotides) under uncultured bacterium. RNAcentral's name for it is "partial 16S ribosomal RNA". It matches the Rfam family "Bacterial small subunit ribosomal RNA", at positions 508 to 809 of the family's 1533-position model. The record is from RNAcentral.